RNAcentral lists this small RNA (2313 nucleotides) under Pan troglodytes (chimpanzee). RNAcentral describes it as "retained intron". The record is from RNAcentral. Lineage: Eukaryota; Metazoa; Chordata; Mammalia; Primates; Hominidae.
CUGGGCUGUCUGCUGCCUGUGGAUGCUGAUUAUUCACAAUGUCCUGCCCUAGCCCUGAUGCUUCUGUACCCUGGGCCAUUUCUCCAGCUGCCUACUGGACAGUUGACUGCCCCACAGACACCUCAAGCUUACAGUAGUAAAAAAAAAAAAAAAAAAAGUUGCCAUCCCUCCCUUCCCACCCCCGUGUGUCCUCUCUAGUGAAUGCCACACUCAUCCAUUCAGGAGCCUGACUCCUCCCCACUCCCGCCCCCUCUCAUAUCAUUGCACACAUCGAGGCAGCCCCGAGCCUGGUGCUUGCACUUCUCUAGUGCCCUGUUGUGGCUCAGUACAGUUGAUAGAGGCAUGCCUCCCUCAGUGGAUCUUGGCUUCACAGCUCCCCUCCACCCUCGCCAGAGCUGCAUCAUUCCUUGGCUGUAUUUUGAAACAAUGUCUUCCUUGGUCUCCAUCCCUCCCCUCAGCCCCCUAUAAUCCAGCAUCCACAGCAGCCAGGAGGAUCUUGCCUUAAAGCAAGUCUGCUGUGUCACCUCCCUGCUCAAACUCCUCCCUGGGGCUCUUUGUUGCCUCAGAAUAAAUCAAAGUAAGCAGAAACACCCCACCUCUGACCCCUCAGCUGUCUCCAGUCCUCAGCCGACAUGUGAGGGUCCAGCUAAAUGGAACUCUGGUUCCUCGCAGCUCCACGAACAUGCCAGGUUUUCUUGUCUGGGGUUUUGCACAUGCUGUUCCUGUUGCCUGGAAGGGUCCUCCUCCACCUGAGGACUCCCUCCUGCUGGCACCACCCUCCUCUGCUGGGGGCUCACCACAGGCCUUGCUUCUGUCUUGGCACUUACCACAGCUGAAAGGUCAUUGCCCUCUGCCUGUGUUCCCAGGCUAGGAGCAUCUCAAGGGCGGUGUGGUGCCUCCAUGUCCAUGCACGGCCACACAGUCUGCCCAAAGAAGGUGCUCAGGAAAGGUUUGUUGACUUAAUUACAUUUCUCCCCACACUGUCCUCCAGCUGGAGAUCAACGAUGUGACCAGGGCCUGGGGGCUGGAGGUAGACCGCGUGGAGCUGGCGGUGGAGGCCGUGCUCCAGCCGCCCCAGGACAGCCCAGCUGGGCCCAACCUGGACAGCACCCUCCAGCAGCUGGCCCUGCACUUCCUGGGAGGAAGCAUGAACUCAAUGGCAGGAGGUGCCCCGUCCCCAGGGCCAGACACCGUGGAGAUGGUGAGUGAAGUUGAGCCACCUGCCCCUCAAGUUGGUGCCAGGUCCAGUCCGAAGCAGCCUCUGGCGGAGGGGCUACUGACUGCUCUACAGCCCUUCCUGUCUGAGGCCCUGGUCAGCCAAGUCGGGGCCUGCUACCAGUUCAAUGUGGUCCUGCCCAGCGGCACCCAAAGCGCCUACUUCCUGGACCUCACUACAGGACGAGGAAGAGUGGGACACGGGGUGCCUGAUGGCAUCCCUGAUGUGGUGGUGGAGAUGGCCGAGGCAGACCUGCGGGCCCUGCUAUGCAGAGAGCUGCGGCCCCUGGGGGCCUACAUGAGCGGACGGCUGAAGGUGAAGGGCGACCUGGCUGUGGCCAUGAAGUUGGAGGCUGUCCUCAGGGCCUUGAAGUAGCAGCCUUGGCUGACUUUCCAGAGCCCAGUCCCAAGCCUGGCACCAAGCCCGAGGGGCCUCUUGGAGGAGGAGGUGUUCAUCUGCACCACAGAGAGUUGAGGCCCUAACAAAUUUCAGGCCCAGCCAAGAGCCCAUGAAUGGAGGCUGCAGGAGGCUGAGUCCGGCUGCCAUGCACAUCUCCCCUACAGUGGUUCUCUGGACAAGGCUUUGUCCAUCCCGGUCCCCAGCGGAGUGCCCAGCGCUGAGCUGGGUGCACGGUGUGAUUCCAGGAGGAGAGCCAGGCCUGCCCUGCCCUGCCCUGCUGGCUUCCUGACUGGAGAGACAGGACCCACAGAAACAGCCUGACAGCAGCUGGUUUGGUCCUUGUGUGAGGGACCAAGCAUGUGGCCCAGGCUCUAAGCUCUGCGGGGAUUGGAGAGGGAUGGGGAGGGAAGGGAAGGCAGCUCCAAGAAGAGGUCCCUGUGGCGAAGUUACCUGGGGAUCCUGGCUGGCCCACCUUCCUGGCUGCAGUCCAGGCCCGUGCUGGCGGGAUUGGGCAUGGGAAGGAGCAGGGCCUGCUGCUUCCCUGGCGCUGCUCCCAAAGAUUUCUGACUCAUCUGCCAGCUCCGUCCUGCAUGCCUGGCGAGCUGGGGCCCAGGGCAGCAUGAAGGAGAGCCCUGCGUUCUGUGCUUCUUACCAGAGGUUUGCAAGCCUCAGACAAAUAAAUGUGGUGUUUACAAUGU